This is a long non-coding RNA of Neltuma alba, 413 nucleotides long. RefSeq lists it as uncharacterized. Lineage: Eukaryota; Viridiplantae; Streptophyta; Magnoliopsida; Fabales; Fabaceae. The transcript is spliced from 2 exons. The record is from RefSeq and is a predicted model, not a curated record.
CGUUCAUCUUCCCAAGUGAAUGGAAAUUUUUGGCUGGUGCAUUAAAAGUUGUUAGGUGGCCAUAUUCUCCUUUGGAAGCUCUUCCACUUGAAACUCAAUUGAAUCGACUUGUUGAAAUGGAUAUGUCACAUAGCAAAAUAAAACAACUUUGGAACAACAAACAUCGUAUGACAAAGUUGAAAUCUAUCGUAUUGAAAAAGUCUCUCAAUUUGAUCGAAACUCCAGACUUCUCAGGUGCUCCAAAUUUAGAACAUUUACAUCUUGGUGGAUGCACAUCUCUUGUCAAGGUUCAUCCCUCCCUUGGACAGUUGGAAAAGCUUGUUGAGGUGGACUUGAAUCAUUGUGCAAACCUUGAAAUCCUACCAAAAAAAUUGGAAACAAAUUCUUUGGUGAAGUUAAACCUUAGGGGGUGU